GAUGAACGCUGGCGGCGUGCCUAAUACAUGCAAGUCGAGCGAACAGAUAAGGAGCUUGCUCCUUUGACGUUAGCGGCGGACGGGUGAGUUACACGUGGAUAACCUACCUAUAAGACUGGGAUAACUUCGGGAAACCGGAGCUAAUACCGGAUAACAUAUUUAACCGCAUGGUUCAAUAGUGAAAGGCGGCUUUGCUGUCACUUAUAGAUGGAUCCGCGCCGUAUUAGCUAGUUGGUAAGGUAACGGCUUACCAAGGCAACGAUACGUAGCCGACCUGAGAGGGUGAUCGGCCACACUGGAACUGAGACACGGUCCAGACUCCUACGGGAGGCAGCAGUAGGGAAUCUUCCGCAAUGGGCGAAAGCCUGACGGAGCAACGCCGCGUGAGUGAUGAAGGUCUUCGGAUCGUAAAACUCUGUUAUCAGGGAAGAACAAAUGUGUAAGUAACUGUGCACAUCUUGACGGUACCUGAUCAGAAAGCCACGGCUAACUACGUG
This 497-nucleotide ribosomal RNA is filed under the name uncultured bacterium. RNAcentral describes it as "partial 16S ribosomal RNA". It matches the Rfam family "Bacterial small subunit ribosomal RNA", at positions 28 to 507 of the family's 1533-position model. The record is from RNAcentral.